Sander lucioperca (pikeperch) is the source of this 952-nucleotide long non-coding RNA. RefSeq lists it as uncharacterized. Lineage: Eukaryota; Metazoa; Chordata; Actinopteri; Perciformes; Percidae. The transcript has 5 exons. The record is from RefSeq and is a predicted model, not a curated record.
UUGGUCAGGGCAGGUCACCUGUAGCACUUAUAAACCUUUCACAGGAUCCCAGUGGCACAUGAGCUGUUCAUUCAACAUGAUGGCUGUUUGGUGCAUGUCAGGGGCUUUGCUCCUUGUUUUGCUGACUGGUUUGAGUUACAGUUACCCUAUGAAGCAAGCUCAGUCCAGUUUUCAGAAUGCACCAGCACCUCCAGGAUAUGCUCAAGGCUCUUCUGCAGGCCCAGCUCCCCCUGGCUCUAAACAAGGGAUUUCCUGGGCUGUUGCACCUCCUAGUCCCUUUUCUGCUGGAGCAUCCACCGGACGUAGCACUCAGCAGUUUGCCUCCAGUGGAUCGGCCCCUCAACCACUUGGCCUUAGCAUUGUGAGCCGGCCUGAUUCUUCUCUUCCACAGUACCAGGCAGGUGACUGAUCCAGGAACAGAAAAGCUUUGAGCAUGGCAACUCUGAAUCUGAGACCGAAGAGCAAGGUUCCAUACCACCACCUCCUUUUGUCUACGCUGCACCACCUCCACAAGGCUUUAAUGGCGGACCUAUGCCAUCACGCCUGGUCCCUUAUCCUUAUCCUUACCCAAAUCCUUACCCUUACUAUGACUACAUGUUCCUGACUGGCCAGUAUCCUCCAGGCACGUAUACUUACACCAGCAACAGCUUUGAGCAGGGGAGGGACAGCUGGGGGGACGCUCGCUACACAAGGGACAACUAUCCCAGCACUCAGCAGGCCAAGAACAUCCCUUAUAAACAUCGGACUGUCAGGCAGGCGAGUAUUGGGAGCGCUAGUCAUGGUCAGAGUGGUGCAGCGACUGGACAACAGCAGCUCUACAGUGGAGUUGAUGUACAAGGUUCUUACUCGCAGCUGGGCUGACAAUGCUGGAGAGAGCCAAGAUCAUUCAUGUAAAAGGUUGGCUAAAGGGUGACUCUGAAGAUUUGUCAAUAAAACAAAAGCUUAACUUUUA